RNAcentral lists this ribosomal RNA (460 nucleotides) under uncultured bacterium. Its description in RNAcentral is "bacterial SSU rRNA". It matches the Rfam family "Bacterial small subunit ribosomal RNA", at positions 338 to 795 of the family's 1533-position model. The record is from RNAcentral.
CCUACGGGGGGCAGCAGUGAGGAAUAUUGGUCAAUGGGCGCAAGCCUGAACCAGCCAUGCCGCGUGCAGGAAGACGGUCCUAUGGAUUGUAAACUGCUUUUAUUUGGGAAUAAACCUCCUUACGUGUAGGGAGCUGAAGGUACCAAAUGAAUAAGCACCGGCUAACUCCGUGCCAGCAGCCGCGGUAAUACGGAGGGUGCAAGCGUUAUCCGGAAUCAUUGGGUUUAAAGGGUCCGCAGGCGGAUUUAUAAGUCAGUGGUGAAAGCCUACAGCUCAACUGUAGAACUGCCAUUGAAACUGUAAGUCUUGAAUUCGGUCGAAGUGGGCGGAAUAUGACAUGUAGCGGUGAAAUGCUUAGAUAUGUCAUAGAACACCGAUAGCGAAGGCAGCUCACUAGGCCUGGAUUGACGCUCAGGGACGAAAGCGUGGGGAGCAAACAGGAUUAGAUACCCCAGUAGUC